UUCAAAUACACAAUAUUAUAUAUACUUACAAUGGUGCCAUCGCAAAGUGCUACGUCCGCGUCACUCCACCAAAAGUCCAAUAGAUACCCAUCGCUGCUUCCUCGUCGGGCCGGUGAUACUAUGUCCACUUGCUCCGUCAUGCCUGUAUCUCUGCGAGACAUUUUGAGUCCUGGGACGCUGCACAAAGAUGGUGGUGGAGGGACGAAAGUUAGUGGAAAGUCAGUCGGCGGGGUCGGCUCUGCGACCCUCACCUCCCUCUCGUCCAUCGCCAACUCCACGAACGUCAGUAGAAACAAAAACGCCCCAAUCUCGCAUCGCGAGGUGCUGCCGUCCCUUGGGAACUCGAAGACGUCGCGGGUGGAUCGAUUGGACAACAAUAACGCCAACAACACGAACGCGAACAACAUCCACCUGCCCCUACACCACGACCCCUUCAACAGCAAUUCGCACACCGAUGGAUGUGGUAUACGAUUACCAAUGACUCCUGAACAAGCGACCAAGUACUACGGCUCCAAGCUCACGGAAUUCGAAAGAGCCGAGAUCGAAAAGUACUCGGAGAUCUGGUACCUCGGCCUGUCGGCAUGUAAGAUACACGGGGAAGAGGGUGCCUCCCAGAACGGCGGCUACGACGACGACAACGGCAGUUACAACAAGGUCCUCCACGACCACAUCUCCUACAGAUAUGAAAUCCUGGAAGUCAUUGGCAAAGGCAGUUUCGGCCAGGUGAUCAGGGCGCUGGAUCACAAGACCGGCCAGCACAUUGCCAUCAAGAUCAUAAGGAACAAAAAGAGAUUCCAUCACCAGGCCCUAGUCGAAGUCAAAAUCUUGGAUCAUCUGAGGAAAAAGGAUGUCGAUGCUAGUUCUUCCCACAAUGUGAUACACAUGCUAGAGUACUUUUACUUCCGGAAUCAUCUGUGCAUUAGUUUCGAGCUGAUGAGCUUGAAUCUGUACGAGCUCAUUAAAAAGAACAAUUACCAAGGCUUUAGUUUAAGCCUCAUUCGAAGGUUCGCCAAUUCACUGGUCAAUUGUCUUAGGCUACUUCACCGAGAAAACAUCAUUCACUGCGACUUGAAACCCGAAAACGUUUUACUGAAGCAACGCGGCAGCAGCUCGAUCAAAGUGAUAGACUUUGGCUCGUCAUGCUACAGUCACCAGCGCGUCUACACGUACAUCCAAUCAAGGUUUUACCGGAGUCCCGAGGUUAUCCUCGGACUGCCCUACGGCACGCCGAUCGACAUGUGGAGUUUGGGCUGCAUUCUCGCCGAACUUUACACCGGCUACCCGCUGUUCCCCGGUGAAAACGAGGUCGAACAGCUGGCCUGUAUCAUGGAGGUGCUGGGCAAGCCCCCAGAUCAGCUCAUCAUUCACGCCACGCGUCGCAGGCUCUUUUUUGACUCCAAGGGUAAUCCUCGCAACAUAACCAACAGCAAGGGUAAGAAGAGGAGGCCUGGAACCAAAAGUGUCAUGCUGGCCCUUAGGUGUCGGGACCCCCUGUUCGUCGAUUUCGUUAGCCGGUGCCUUGAGUGGGACUCGAAAAAACGCAUGACUCCGGAAGAAGCGAUGCGUCACGAGUGGCUGACCUCCUCGUCCUCGUCGCACCUGUCGUCCUCGUCGUCGACGAUGGCUUCCUCGAUGACCGGUAGCUUGGUCCUGAGCAGUGGUGGCGUCGUAGAGUCUAGCCAGCCGGUGCACGGCCAAACCGGCCUGAGCUGCGGAGCGACAAGCGUAUCGGCGACCGUCGGCGUUGUACAGAGCGUAGCGUCGAGCAACGCGCGCCGGCGUGCCGAGACGAUGGAAGAUCCCCAGCAGCAGUACGCGCUGCUGCAGCAGUACCAGCAGCUGUACCGGGGCCGCAAGUGCAUCUCCAAGAUCACGGGCAUCGACGCCCCGGACGGUGGCGCGUCCCUCGUCGUCAAGAACAAGCUCAACGGUAGUGCGAGCAGCCACGCCCUCACGGCCGGGGGCCAGACCGCGAGUUCGAGGCACGCCUCCACCGGGGACAUCGUCACGAGCCUCGAUCCCAGCCUCGACGACUCGGGGACCUUCCUGCCGCACAUCUUGUCUUGAAGCCGGGUGCGAGCUAGCCAUUUCUAAAGCGACACGCGAGCCACGACCGUCGUCUCUGAGCCCUUUGGAUUUUGUUCUUUCUUUGGAUCGUUGAGUCGCGCGCAGUUAAGCUGCCGAGGGGAGACAAAUGAUGUACUUGCUCGGGGCGCUGUUUCAGAGAUGAACUGCUUGCGCAGGGGGUAAAGAAAUUUUGGUAUUUUUGAUCAUCACUGGAAACAAGAGAUACCGAGGUGCGCAAAGUACACUAUAAUAUAUUGGAUCUUGUACCGACAAUAAUUUUUGAAUCGGCCAAAUUGAGAUGAAUCCCGUGAUAAUACUCAAUGAAAUGAAUCAAAGCUGCGGAUCAGCUGAUAAUUUGUUACAUUAUACUCUGGAGGAUAAGCUUUGGAAAGAAAUGGCUGGCUAUUGUCGCAUCGAAUCGAAAUAACGUUUAGCCAUGACCCAACGAAAAUAAAAGGGGCGUAAUGACAAAAAAAGUGUAAGGCUCGUAUAUCUAGGCUAAUUACGCAUCGACUGGAGUUUAACGAUUAAUAGUAAAUGGAAAAUCGUCCUUCGUUUUCACGACCUAUACCAUGUAGCCAAGUCUGCUGUGUAAUUUUAAAUUUUAUAAAUGUUAUUUAUUGUCGUCGAUCAACGUCAUUCGAAAUCAUCUGCCUCAAACGCGUUGAACGAUCGACAACGACUUAUCGCUCUCUCGACGAGGAAGCCGAGCGGUAUGGGAAUCGAGAGAAAAACCAUGCACGAAACGCCAAAAGUUUAACGCGUCAAUAGUGAAAGUAAAAAUAUCGAAAGCAUCAGUUUUUUUUUUUUUUCUUCGAUGGCUCCAAAAACUGAUGUGUCGUGAGAUAAAGAUAACGCAGAUUGUCCUCCCGAUCGGCGUGACCCCGUUUUUUGCGAGGCCUGAGUAGUCUUAUUGUGAUAUUAAACUACCACUGUCUUACUUGGAUCUCUAAUGAUUGAGAAUGUAGCGCCGUCUAAUGUUAGUUUUUUUUUAAAUACUAUUUUAGACAUUAUUCUUAU
This 3087-nucleotide unclassified non-coding RNA is filed under the name Copidosoma floridanum. Its description in RNAcentral is "dual specificity tyrosine-phosphorylation-regulated kinase 4-like, transcript variant X1". Lineage: Eukaryota; Metazoa; Arthropoda; Insecta; Hymenoptera; Encyrtidae. The record is from RNAcentral.